Molecule: ribosomal RNA, 456 nt
Filed under: uncultured bacterium
Lineage: Bacteria
Description: SSU rRNA
Rfam family: Bacterial small subunit ribosomal RNA
Source: RNAcentral
GAUGAACGCUGGCGGCGUGCUUAACACAUGCAAGUCGAACGAAGCAAUUGAGCGGAAGUUUUCGGAUGGAAGCUUAAUUGACUUAGUGGCGGACGGGUGAGUAACCCGUGGGUAACCUGCCUUAUACUGGGGGAUAACAGUUGGAAACGACUGCUAAUACCGCAUAAUAAAGAAUAUCGCAUGAUUUUCUUUUGAAAUAUUUAUAGGUAUAAGAUGGACCCGCGUCUGAUUAGCUAGUUGGUGAGGUAACUGCUCACCAAGGCGACGAUCAGUAGCCGGCUUGAGAGAGUGACCGGCCACAUUGGGACUGAGACACGGCCCAAACUCCUACGGGAGGCAGCAGUGGGGAAUAUUGCACAAUGGGGGAAACCCUGAUGCAGCGACGCCGCGUGAGUGAAGAAGUAUUUCGGUAUGUAAAGCUCUAUCAGCAGGGAAGAUAAUGACGGUACCUGACUA